RNAcentral lists this ribosomal RNA (253 nucleotides) under uncultured bacterium. RNAcentral describes it as "partial 16S ribosomal RNA". It matches the Rfam family "Bacterial small subunit ribosomal RNA", at positions 524 to 776 of the family's 1533-position model. The record is from RNAcentral.
UACGAAGGGGGCUAGCGUUGCUCGGAAUCACUGGGCGUAAAGCGCACGUAGGCGGCUUUCUAAGUCAGGGGUGAAAUCCUGGAGCUCAACUCCAGAACUGCCUUUGAUACUGGAGAGCUCGAGUCCGGGAGAGGUGAGUGGAACUCCGAGUGUAGAGGUGAAAUUCGUAGAUAUUCGGAAGAACACCAGUGGCGAAGGCGGCUCACUGGCCCGGUACUGACGCUGAUGUGCGAAAGCGUGGGGAGCAAACAGG